CACUGCAUCGUCAGUGUGCAAGCAUUGAUCAUUCGUCUUGCUGCGGACAGUCCAGGGAGGUGGGGAAAUACCUGUACUCUCAGGAAACCAAAUCAAGCCUUGGCACGAGGUCACCAUGGAAGGAUUAUAGCCGAUCAUAUCGAAACCCACCUAGGGUUCUCAGGACCAAGAGAUACUAAACCAAUAAACAACGAUGGCAGAACACACUCCAAGCCACCUUUUGCUUCUAGAAGACAGAUGCAAACUACACUUGUUGCAAGGCUACUGAGCGGGCCUAUGAUGAAUCCAGCAGCAGUGUCUUCAAUCACAGAAAGUGCUUUUAGAAAACAUUAUGGUAAUGCUUAGCACUAAAUGCUGUUUGUCCCUGAAAAAAGGAAAAAUCACUGUGAAGAAAACAAGAAAGUAGCACAGAGACAAGAGUGUUCGCUGCAGGAAAAGCGCUUCUUCACUCCAUCUGCAAAUGUUUUUCCUACGCAAAAUCAAGAUGGCUUCAAGCAAUAAAAUUCACAUGAUGAACAGUCCCCAGGCUUGAACACAGAAAAGAUAUGGACAAAGGAAAUAAGUCUGUUCAAAGCUAUGGAAAUAGCUCAGAGCCUUUUAACUUGGAAAAGAGAUGACUGAGGGAAAAUAUGACUAAGGUUUAUGAAAUGAUAAUGGUUUGGAAAAGGACAACAGAUCUUCACUGCUUCUCAUAAUGAAAGAAUGAAACAGCACCAAAACAAAAUAGCUGGCAGCAAAUAUAAAUAAAACAAAAAGAAGUGCUUUUUCGCACAGCAGGUAGUUAAACCAUGGAACUCUUUGCCACAGGUGUUGAGGAGACUAAAGCAUGAAUGGGUUAAAACACCUGCUAGAUGUAUUCAUUAAUGCAGAAGUUGAUCAAGGGUUAUUUAACAUACGCUCCAAAUAAGUCUUUGAGGUGAAGAAAACCUCCUGGUCCAAAAACCUCCAGCUGUUGUUGAUGUUUCAACAGCUGAGGCAUCAAGAAAUAGAAGAAAUAUUGUUUUAUAGUUCUCCUUUUUCUUACUUUCUUCUUCUAUUGGCCAGUAUCAGAGACACGAUGCCGAGUUAGAGGAGUCUUUGUUCUGACUCGGUAUGGGCAUCCUCCUGCAAUUAAGGAGAAAAGGCUAUACAGAAACUGUUGACCAAAAGCACCUUUAUACAUUGAAUGAAGAGAAGUAAACGCAAGGUCCAGCUCAGGUACUUCCAAUAUGCAGUCAAUACAGCCUCCAAAGAGAUUACACAGACGGCAAUGGUAUUUGGAAGUGCAGAAAGUGCAUUGCCAGUGCAGAACCAUCCAAGGAAAAUUCUAGCCAAGGAAGAGUCUUGUUCAGAUCUUGUGUUGCCCAGAUAUUUGGAUGCAGGGUUAACAUAAGCGCCUGUGUGAGCCAUCCUGCUCAGGGCAAUUUUGUGAACCAGCUUCCAUGAUCAAAUACUCUGCUGCAUGAGGGAGGAGCUGAUGAUGAUUUCAAAUGAGCUAUAAAUAAACUGAAGGACAUUAAAUAAACAAACCACAUAAUGGAUGUGAUUGAGAUUAGCUAUUAUGAGGAACAAUAACAACUUCUCGUGGAGGAAAAAUGGAGCGCGCACAAUGAUGAUUUUGCUAACAGCCCAGGCUUUGUGUCAGGUGUAGAAAGCAGACAGCAACAGAAGGAAAUAUGAGCUACGUGUAUUUAUUGCAGCAAGCCAAAACCACUGUAAGAGGCAGGCCAAAAGCUGUUUACAUAACUACAGGGGGAAGAAAAAGGAAGGAAGAAAUGAUCCAAACAGGAUGCUGCAUUUCAGGACAUAAGGUGGGAAGUGUUAGUCACAGCAUCAGGCAUGCACGUGUUCAGUCCAACGAGAGGAACUGUCUCUGUGAAGGCACUGGCUCUACUUUCAAAGCUAUCUGGUACAGUGUGUUUUGAAAAGUUGCAGUGAAAGAUCGUGAAAUGAUACUUUGAAUGGCGGGGCACAUCAUGUCAGAUGGAAAAUUAAUCCUCCCCUUUGCUACUGAAUCACGAUGAACAAUCUCUCUAAAGUACUGCGAAGUCUGGAAAUUUCACCAACUACCCUCUUAUAAAAACAACAUUCAGUUCACUUCCAUUCACCCAAAGAGUUAAAAAGCCACAACUUUUUCUGGAAGGAAUGCUACCAGAAGCUUGGAAAUUGAUGAGGUUUCUAAGUGCCCAAUAACAAAAAAGAUUCUAAGAAAAUGCAAAAGUAGGUGACAUGUAAAUUCAGGUAAUCAGCAUAACAGAUUAAUGUUUUUAAGCCAUCUAUUUCAAAGUUCCUAUGUCCCAAAGUUCAGUAUCAAAUCAAGAUUUGAAGGCAACAGCUACAAAAUUAUUAAAAAUCUAGCAAUUCUUACCAGUCCUAUCAGUAACAGAAAUUUCAGCUCAGGGUGUAUUUAUAGACCAGCAUUCUGAAUCCAGCUAUGACUAACUGAUUUUUCAGCUUUACUUUGCGGAUUUGGUAGAACUGGCAAUAAUGUGCAUACAGGCAAAGUUUCACCACUGUAUGUCAGAUUAAAAAUAUGACUUUGACCAGGACAUCAGAACUCCAAAGGAAAUGUUUUCUACAUCAUACAGGGGCAAACCUGAUGUAUUUGACUUCCAGUUGUAGCAGAAGAAUUCCCUGAGAAUGCAAAAAGAAAGCUCAGCAUCUCUUUAGCUUCAGAAGUCAUGCUUAGAAAAAGUAGUGCUUUAGUGAGUUCAUUUGUGUCAUGACUAAUUUCC
This is a long non-coding RNA of Harpia harpyja (harpy eagle), 2714 nucleotides long. RefSeq lists it as uncharacterized. The transcript is spliced from 4 exons. The record is from RefSeq and is a predicted model, not a curated record. Lineage: Eukaryota; Metazoa; Chordata; Aves; Accipitriformes; Accipitridae.